RNAcentral lists this non-coding RNA (24 nucleotides) under Arabidopsis thaliana (thale cress). The record is from RNAcentral. Lineage: Eukaryota; Viridiplantae; Streptophyta; Magnoliopsida; Brassicales; Brassicaceae.
ACAGCCGGCGGUGCAGCACGGAGC